This is a non-coding RNA of Odocoileus virginianus texanus, 184 nucleotides long. The record is from RefSeq and is a predicted model, not a curated record. NCBI's taxonomy places the organism in Eukaryota, Metazoa, Chordata, Mammalia, Artiodactyla, Cervidae.
GCAAACAUGAAGGAUUUUCUUGGAGAAAGCGGGCAACUUUUCUUAUGAAUACAGAAAAGCAAAAGGAAGAUAAAGAAAUUCAUGGAAAUUUACCACCUAGAGAUGCUCUAUAACAUCAUCCUCUCCACCUAAUGCAGAAACAAAGGAAGCCUGGGAAGGAUGAGUUUUGAAUGGCAGAGUCCGG